UAGCAUAUCAAUAAGCGGAGGAAAAGAAACCAACAGGGAUUGCCUCAGUAACGGCGAGUGAAGCGGCAACAGCUCAAAUUUGAAAUCUGGCCCUAGGCCCGAGUUGUAAUUUGCAGAGGAUGUUUCUGGCGAGGUGCCUUCCGAGUUCCCUGGAACGGGACGCCAUAGAGGGUGAGAGCCCCGUACGGUUGGUCGCUAAGCCUCUGUGAAACUCCUUCGACGAGUCGAGUAGUUUGGGAAUGCUGCUCUAAAUGGGAGGUAUACGUCUUCUAAAGCUAAAUACCGGCCAGAGACCGAUAGCGCACAAGUAGAGUGAUCGAAAGAUGAAAAGCACUUUGAAAAGAGGGUUAAAUAGUACGUGAAAUUGUUGAAAGGGAAGCGCUUAUGACCAGACUUGGACCGGUUGAUCAUCCAUCGUUCUCGGUGGUGCACUCUGCCGGUUCAGGCCAGCAUCAGUUCGUCCCGGGGGAUAAAGGCUUUGGGAAUGUGGCUCUUCGGAGUGUUAUAGCCCACUGCGUAAUACCCUGGGAUGGACUGAGGUUCGCGCUCCGCAAGGAUGCUGGCGUAAUGGUCAUCAGUGACCCGUCUUGAAACACGGACCAAGGAGUCGUCUUCGUAUGCGAGUGUUCGGGUGUCAAACCCCUACGCGUAAUGAAAGUGAACGUAGGAGAGAGCUUCGGCGCAUCUCCGACCGAUCCUGAUGUUCUCGGAUGGAUUUGAGUAAGAGCAUACGGGGCCGGACCCGAAAGAAGGUGAACUAUGCUUGUAUAGGGUGAAGCCAGAGGAAACUCUGGUGGAGGCUCGCAGCGGUUCUGACGUGCAAAUCGAUCGUCAAAUAUGAGCAUGGAGGCGAAAGACUAAUCGA
This 865-nucleotide ribosomal RNA is filed under the name Verruciconidia persicina. Its description in RNAcentral is "LSU rRNA". It matches the Rfam family "Eukaryotic large subunit ribosomal RNA", at positions 36 to 938 of the family's 3401-position model. The record is from RNAcentral. Lineage: Eukaryota; Fungi; Ascomycota; Sordariomycetes; Hypocreales; Bionectriaceae.